RNAcentral lists this ribosomal RNA (1341 nucleotides) under uncultured bacterium. Its description in RNAcentral is "bacterial SSU rRNA". It matches the Rfam family "Bacterial small subunit ribosomal RNA", at positions 28 to 1387 of the family's 1533-position model. The record is from RNAcentral.
GACGAACUCUGGCGGCGCGCCUAACACAUGCAAGUCGAACGGAGCUUAGAGAGCUUGCUUUUUAAGCUUAGUGGCGAACGGGUGAGUAACGCGUGAGUAACCUGCCCUAGAGUGGGGGACAACAGUUGGAAACGACUGCUAAUACCGCAUAAGCCCACGGUGCCGCAUGACACUGAGGGAAAAGGAUUUAUUCGCUUUAGGAUGGACUCGCGUCCAAUUAGCUAGUUGGUGAGGUAACGGCCCACCAAGGCGACGAUUGGUAGCCGGACUGAGAGGUUGAACGGCCACAUUGGGACUGAGACACGGCCCACACUCCUACGGGAGGCAGCAGUGGGGGAUAUUGCACAAUGGGGGAAACCCUGAUGCAGCGACGCCGCGUGGAGGAAGAAGGUUUUCGGAUUGUAAACUCCUGUCGUUAGGGACGAUAAUGACGGUACCUAACAAGAAAGCACCGGCUAACUACGUGCCAGCAGCCGCGGUAAAACGUAGGGUGCAAGCGUUGUCCGGAAUUACUGGGUGUAAAGGGAGCGCAGGCGGGAAGACAAGUUGGAAGUGAAAACCAUGGGCUCAACCCAUGAAUUGCUUUCAAAACUGUUUUUCUUGAGUAGUGCAGAGGUAGAUGGAAUUCCCGGUGUAGCGGUGGAAUGCGUAGAUAUCGGGAGGAACACCAGUGGCGAAGGCGGUCUACUGGGCACCAACUGACGCUGAGGCUCGAAAGCAUGGGUAGCAAACAGGAUUAGAUACCCUGGUAGUCCAUGCCGUAAACGACGGAAUAUUAGGUGUUGGGGGAUUGACCCCCUCAGCGCCGCAGUUAACACAAUAAUUAAUCCACCUGGGGAGUACGCCCGCAAGGUUGAAACUCAAAGGAAUUGACGGGGGCCCGCACAAGCAGUGGAGUAUGUGGUUUAAUUAGAAGCAACGCGAAGAACCUUACCAGGUCUUGACAUCCGAUGCAUAGCACAGAGAUGUGUGAAAUCCUUCGGGACAUCGAGACAGGUGGUGCAUGGUUGUCGUCAGCUCGUGUCGUGAGAUGUUGGGUUAAGUCCCGCAACGAGCGCAACCCUUAUUGCCAGUUACUACGUUAAGAGGACUCUGGCGAGACUGCCGUUGACAAAACGGAGGAAGGUGGGGAUGACGUCAAAUCAUCAUGCCCUUUAUGACCUGGGCUACACACGUACUACAAUGGCGUUAAACAAAGAGAAGCAAGACCGCGAGGUGGAGCAAAACUCAAAAACAACGUCUCAGUUCAGAUUGCAGGCUGCAACUCGCCUGCAUGAAGUCGGAAUUGCUAGUAAUCGCGGAUCAGCAUGCCGCGGUGAAUACGUUCCCGGGCCUUGUACA